CAGUGUUAACUGUCUUUCCUUGCUUCAACAUGUUCGAAUGAGGAGCUGCAUCAGCCAGUGAGCCACAAAGGAAGAAGGAGAGGUUAAUUCCACACAACAGCACAAAGACAAAGGAAGGAAAAAACAAUCUCUUCAGAGACUAGAUUCUUCCCUGGUGGUGUUACGCUGUGCCUAAUCAUGAAAUUAAGAAUUGAACACGUUCAUCAGUUAAUCACAUCACACUUCCCACCACAUCCUUACUCAGCCAACUGCUAACUCCUGGAACACUGAGAAGAAGAAACACCGGCAGCACCACUAGAAACAGCAGUGGCUUCGAACCUCUGAAGACAGUUUGCCAAUUUCAACGUCCUUAAGCAUGCUUAAUCUGGGGCUAAUUAUUGAUACUUAACACAGAGCAGCAGUCUUGAGGAUGUAUGAGUCUCUCAGACUCUGCUGUUAUAUAAAUAUACAACCUUCCAGCUAACAGUUUAUUACGAAGUACUUCUUAACGGGUCUUGGAUUAAAACAACGUGUUUACCCACCAGGCAAAAA
This is a non-coding RNA of Lepisosteus oculatus (spotted gar), 531 nucleotides long. The record is from RefSeq and is a predicted model, not a curated record. Lineage: Eukaryota; Metazoa; Chordata; Actinopteri; Semionotiformes; Lepisosteidae.